AACGAACGCUGGCGGCAUGCCUAACACAUGCAAGUCGAACGAAGGCUUCGGCCUUAGUGGCGCACGGGUGCGUAACACGUGGGAAUCUGCCCUUUGGUUCGGAAUAACAGCUGGAAACGGCUGCUAAUACCGGAUGAUGACGAAAGUCCAAAGAUUUAUCGCCAGAGGAUGAGCCCGCGUUGGAUUAGGUAGUUGGUGGGGUAAAGGCCUACCAAGCCGACGAUCCAUAGCUGGUCUGAGAGGAUGAUCAGCCACACUGGGACUGAGACACGGCCCAGACUCCUACGGGAGGCAGCAGUGGGGAAUAUUGGACAAUGGGCGCAAGCCUGAUCCAGCAAUGCCGCGUGAGUGAUGAAGGCCCUAGGGUUGUAAAGCUCUUUUACCCGGGAAGAUAAUGACUGUGCCGGGAGAAUAAGCCCCGGCUAACUCCGU
RNAcentral lists this ribosomal RNA (432 nucleotides) under uncultured bacterium. RNAcentral's name for it is "partial 16S ribosomal RNA". It matches the Rfam family "Bacterial small subunit ribosomal RNA", at positions 29 to 506 of the family's 1533-position model. The record is from RNAcentral.